This 695-nucleotide ribosomal RNA is filed under the name uncultured bacterium. Its description in RNAcentral is "bacterial SSU rRNA". It matches the Rfam family "Bacterial small subunit ribosomal RNA", at positions 125 to 818 of the family's 1533-position model. The record is from RNAcentral.
CCUGCCCAUAAGUGGGGAAUAACAGUUGGAAACGACUGCUAAUACCGCAUAAGCUGAGCAAUCAGUAAAGGAGGCUAACGCUUCCGCUUUAUGGAUGGGCCCGCGUCUGAUUAGCUAGUUGGUGGGGUAAUGGCCUACCAAGGCAACGAUCAGUAGCCGGCCUGAGAGGGUGGACGGCCACACUGGGACUGAGACACGGCCCAGACUCCUACGGGAGGCAGCAGUGGGGAAUAUUGCGCAAUGGGGGAAACCCUGACGCAGCGACGCCGCGUGAGCGAAGAAGGCCUUAGGGUCGUAAAGCUCUGUUUUAAGGGACGAAUAUCCUCAGUAGUAACUGACUGGGGAAUGACGGUACCUUAAGAGAAAGCCCCGGCUAACUACGUGCCAGCAGCCGCGGUAAGACGUAGGGGGCGGGCGUUGUCCGGGAUUACUGGGCGUAAAGAGCACGUAGGCGGGAUUUUAAGUCAGGUGUGAAAGACCGGGGCCCAACCUCGGGGUUGCAUCUGAAACUGGAUAUCUUGAGGGCAGGAGAGGAAAGUGGAAUUCCUGGUGUAGCGGUGAAAUGCGUAGAAAUCAGGAGGAAUACCAGUGGCGAAGGCGACUUUCUGGACUGACCCUGACGCUGAGGUGCGAAAGCGUGGGUAGCAAACAGGAUUAGAUACCCUGGUAGUCCACGCUGUAAACGAUGGAUACUA